CGGGCGAUGCCGCGGUUCGAGAACGCGCAGGCCGAUACCGAGUCCAUGUAGAUGCAUCUCUUCAGGGAAUCGGGGUUUCCUUCUUCUUUUUCCUUGGUUCCGUGAUCCGAUUUCAUGAUUCUGCUGUCAAAACUGAUGUAGCCUGGACCAUAUUGGAUGAUGACAGUCGCGUCCACCAGACGAAUCGCACAUGCUACACCGUGGAGGACAUUUAGAUGGAAACUGCACCCGGGGCAGAUGUAGAUGAACGCUUGGUUUUGAUGAAUUGAUGGAUUUGUAGGACUGGCUUCUGCCGCUGACGUCAACCUCUCUUUUAUCAGUCGUAUAUGGGAUUUUUUCACGAUUUUAAUCCAUGAUAUGAAAAUAUUUUACGGAAUGAAUU
RNAcentral lists this long non-coding RNA (382 nucleotides) under Hordeum vulgare. RNAcentral's name for it is "long non-coding RNA (HVUL_LNC015632)". The record is from RNAcentral. Lineage: Eukaryota; Viridiplantae; Streptophyta; Magnoliopsida; Poales; Poaceae.